AGGACGAACGCUGGCGGCGUGCUUAACACAUGCAAGUCGAGCGGUAAGGCCUUUCGGGGUACACGAGCGGCGAACGGGUGAGUAACACGUGGGUGAUCUGCCCUGCACUUCGGGAUAAGCCUGGGAAACUGGGUCUAAUACCGGAUAUGACCUCCUAUCGCAUGGUGGGUGGUGGAAAGAUUUAUCGGUGCAGGAUGGGCCCGCGGCCUAUCAGCUUGUUGGUGGGGUAAUGGCCUACCAAGGCGACGACGGGUAGCCGACCUGAGAGGGUGACCGGCCACACUGGGACUGAGACACGGCCCAGACUCCUACGGGAGGCAGCAGUGGGGAAUAUGCACAAUGGGCGAAAGCCUGAUGCAGCGACGCCGCGUGAGGGAUGACGGCCUUCGGGUUGUAAACCUCUUUCAGCAGGACGAAGCGCAAGUGACGGUACCUGCAGAAGAAGCACCGGCUAACUACGUGCCAAGCAGCCGC
Molecule: ribosomal RNA, 474 nt
Filed under: uncultured soil bacterium
Lineage: Bacteria
Description: bacterial SSU rRNA
Rfam family: Bacterial small subunit ribosomal RNA
Source: RNAcentral